GAACCUGCGGAAGGAUCAUUACCGAGUGAGGGCCCUCUGGGUCCAACCUCCCACCCGUGUCUAUCGUACCUUGUUGCUUCGGCGGGCCCGCCGUUUCGACGGCCGCCGGGGAGGCCUUGCGCCCCCGGGCCCGCGCCCGCCGAAGACCCCAACAUGAACGCUGUUCUGAAAGUAUGCAGUCUGAGUUGAUUAUCGUAAUCAGUUAAAACUUUCAACAACGGAUCUCUUGGUUCCGGCAUCGAUGAAGAACGCAGCGAAAUGCGAUAAGUAAUGUGAAUUGCAGAAUUCAGUGAAUCAUCGAGUCUUUGAACGCACAUUGCGCCCCCUGGUAUUCCGGGGGGCAUGCCUGUCCGAGCGUCAUUGCUGCCCUCAAGCACGGCUUGUGUGUUGGGCCCCCGUCCCCCUCUCCCGGGGGACGGGCCCGAAAGGCAGCGGCGGCACCGCGUCCGGUCCUCGAGCGUAUGGGGCUUUGUCACCUGCUCUGUAGGCCCGGCCGGCGCCAGCCGACACCCAACUUUAUUUUUCUAAGGUUGACCUCGGAUCAGGUAGGGAUACCCGCUGAACUUAAGCAUAUCAAUAAGCGGA
Molecule: ribosomal RNA, 585 nt
Filed under: Aspergillus fumigatus
Lineage: Eukaryota; Fungi; Ascomycota; Eurotiomycetes; Eurotiales; Aspergillaceae
Description: eukaryotic LSU rRNA
Rfam family: 5.8S ribosomal RNA (bases 207-360)
Source: RNAcentral